GUGUAUUAUUAUACCCCACGCAACGAAGUUGCGGAGGGUAUAAUGUUUUUGACCCGUCCGUCCGUCCGUCAGUCCGUCCGUCCGUCAGUCCGUCCGUCCGUCCGUCCGUCAGUCCGUCAGUCCUGUUUCUUGUCAUCGCAACUCCUCUCAAACCACACAACAGAAUUUCACGAAACCUUUUCAGAUGAAAAGGACAUACUAUGUAGUUGUGCAUAUCGACAGGAAAUUGCGAUUCAAUUUUUUUUAUAAGAGUUACGCCCCUUUGAACGUAUUUGCUUAAUGUACUACUGCAACAGUUUGUCAUCGCAACUCCUCUGAAACUACACAACAGAAUUUCACGAAACCUUUUUAGAUAAUAAGGACAUACAAUGUAGAUGUGCAUAUCGACAGGAAAUUACGAUUCAAUUUUUUUUCUAGGAGUUACCCCCCUUUGAACUUAUUUACUUUAUUGUACUACUGCAACAGUUUGUCAUCGCAACUCCUCUGAAACUACACAACAGAAUUCAUGAAACCUUUUAAGAUAAUAAGGACAUACUAUGUAGAUGUGCAUAUCGACAGAAAAUUACGAUUCAAUUUUUUUUCUAGGAGUUACCCCCCCUUUGAACUUAUUUACUUUAUUGUACUACUGCAACAGUUUGUCAUCUCAACUCCUCUGAAACCACACAACAGAAUUUCAUGAACAUUUGUAGAUAAUAAGGAAAUACUAUGUAGAUGUGCAUAUCGACAGGAAAUUACGAUUAAAUUUUUUUUCUAGGAGUUACAUCUCUUUGAACUUAUUUGCUUUAAGGUACUACUGCAACAGUUUGUCAUCGCAACUCCUCUGAAACUACACAACAGAAUUUCAUGAAACCUUUUAAGAUAAUAAGGACAUACUAUGUAGAUGUGCAUAUCGACAGGAAAUUACGAUUCAAUUUUUUUUCUAGGAGUUACAUCUCUUUGAACUUACUUGCUUCAAUGUACUUCUGCAACAGUUUGUCAUCUCAACUCCUCUGAAACCACACAACAGAAUUUCAUGAAACCUUUUCAGAUGAAAAGGACAUACUAUGUAGUUGUGCAUAUCGACAGGAAAUUGCGAUUCAAUUUUUUUUAUAAGAGUUACGCCCCUUUGAAUGUAUUUGCUUAAUGUACUACUGCAACAGUUUGUCAUCGCAACUCCUCUGAAACUACACAACAGAAUUUCACGAAACCUUUUUAGAUAAUAAGGACAUACAAUGUAGAUGUGCAUAUCGACAGGAAAUUACGAUUCAAUUUUUUUUCUAGGAGUUACCCCCCUUUGAACUUAUUUACUUUAUUGUACUACUGCAACAGUUUGUCAUCGCAACUCCUCUGAAACUACACAACAGAAUGUCAUGAAACCUUUUAAGAUAAUAAGGACAUACUAUGUAGAUGUGCAUAUCGACAGAAAAUUACGAUUCAAUUUUUUUUCUAGGAGUUACCCCCCCUUUGAACUUAUUUACUUUAUUGUACUACUGCAACAGUUUGUCAUCUCAACUCCUCUGAAACCACACAACAGAAUUUCAUGAACAUUUGUAGAUAAUAAGGAAAUACUAUGUAGAUGUGCAUAUCGACAGGAAAUUACGAUUAAAUUUUUUUUCUAGGAGUUACAUCUCUUUGAACUUAUUUGCUUUAAGGUACUACUGCAACAGUUUGUCAUUGCAACUCCUCUGAAACUACAC
RNAcentral lists this long non-coding RNA (1676 nucleotides) under Mytilus galloprovincialis (Mediterranean mussel). Lineage: Eukaryota; Metazoa; Mollusca; Bivalvia; Mytilida; Mytilidae. The record is from RNAcentral.